RNAcentral lists this ribosomal RNA (235 nucleotides) under uncultured bacterium. RNAcentral describes it as "partial 16S ribosomal RNA". It matches the Rfam family "Bacterial small subunit ribosomal RNA", at positions 15 to 240 of the family's 1533-position model. The record is from RNAcentral.
GAUCCUGGCUCAGGAUGAACGCUGGCGGCGUGCCUAAUACAUGCAAGUAGAACGCUGAAGGAAGGAGCUUGCUCUUUCCGGAUGAGUUGCGAACGGGUGAGUAACGCGUAGGUAACCUGCCUGGUAGCGGGGGAUAACUAUUGGAAACGAUAGCUAAUACCGCAUAACAAUAGAUGUUGCAUGACAACUAUUUGAAAGGGGCAAUUGCUCCACUACCAGAUGGACCUGCGUUGUA